Long non-coding RNA from Vespa velutina, 2093 nucleotides. RefSeq lists it as uncharacterized. The record is from RefSeq and is a predicted model, not a curated record. Lineage: Eukaryota; Metazoa; Arthropoda; Insecta; Hymenoptera; Vespidae. The transcript is spliced from 3 exons.
GAAAGCUUCACCCACCAUCACGUACCCCUACUCUGAUCCACCUAGUGAUACCCCUACCCCAAUCGACGCAACGGUACCAUUCCCGUGGGAAGGACGACUGCGUUUGCGAGAUGCGUUGACGACCUGCCCUUUUCGUCAUUUGCUCGCAGUACGCCGUACGAAUCAGACGUUCGUAAGUACUUUACAUCGAGCAAUUCGCGUCAAACUAAGUUCAUCCAUCUCAGUAUCAGUGUCCAACUAAUUCAUCCAGCCAAACAGUCAGUGCUUAUUCAUAAAAAUUCAAAAUAACAUUUAUCAUUAAAUUUCAAUUACAUAUUACAGAAAGAAAAGUGAAUUUUCAUCAUCCACAUCAUGUUACUUGAUUGUUUUUCGAAUAUCAUACAAUAUCAUACAUUCGAUCACAAUUUACGUCAAAAAAAGAAAUCAUCAAUUAAAGAGAUAUUAUCAGAAUCAUCCCCGAAUCAAAACAGAUGAUUGAAAUAAAUAUAUAUGAAAAUUAUAUUCUUCUAUUAUAUAAUCAAAAUAUCAUAAAAUAUUAUUAAAAAUAUCAAAAAAUUGUAUAUUAUACACAUACCGAGAUCUGAAAGAAUUCGAUUAUAGAAGAUAUCAAUCUUUGAAAAUUUAUUCUUUUAUCUAAUCGUACUAAGUGAACGAAAAGCAUGCCAUACGUAAUCGAAAUGAAUACAAUGACGGGUAGUUUCGAUUCAUCCGACCAAACAUCAACGACGAACGGUGAACAUUCCAUGCUUGGGCAAACAUCUUCUUCGGCAACUGACAGUUCGCAGUUGGUUAAGGAGUUUUGGAACUGGAAGAUGAAGAACGCAGCCACUGCCUAUCCACUACGUAUACGGAACUAAUCAAGGCCAUGGUUAAAAAUCCGCGAUUUGUGAAUUGCUGGAUACCUUAAACAUUGCGCGAACGAUGGUGCAUGAUAAUCUUACAAAGAUCGGCUACGUCAAUCGCUCUGAAGUAGGGAUUCCGGCAUCAAUUGACAGAGAGCAACUUCCUUAAUCGUGUUUCGACAUGUGAUAUGAAUCCAAAGAUUCAUUUUUGAAGAUAUUACUAUUUAUUCCUUUCAUUAAAAAAAUUCUCUUCGCGACAAAAAAUUUAAUACAAUAAAUGACAUAAAAAUACACCUAGAAUGAUAUUUAUAUAUUAGCGAAUCCCAGAAUUUCUGAAUAGAUAGCAUUAUGCGGCUUCCUGAGAGAUGGAGAAAGGUAAUAAAACAAAAUGGAUCAUACAUAAUUCAAUAAUAUAAUAUAAGACAUAAAAUGUUGUUCAUCUAUAAUAUUAUUUCGUUAUAAAACGAAAGAAAUUUUUACGGAUAAUCUGAUAUUAUUAUACAAAUUUAUAUCUUACCUAUAAAAUAUCAUACUGUUAUAACAACUCGGCAAUGGUUGAUUAACCAUUUCCAUUAGAACCUGCAAUAGCAACUGUUUUAUCAGUGGGAAUAUUCAAAUUAAAAUUUUUCAAAAUAAUGUGAUCUGGCCGAGUUGAAUAGCUAAAUUUCACAUUUUUAAAUUCUAUAUUCCCUGAAAGAGAGACGAAGAGGAAGAGAGGGAGAGGAAGAGAGAGAGAGAGAGAAAGAGAGAGAGAGAAAGAGAGAGAGAGAUCUUUGAACUAUUUGAAUUGCUAUCAAAAAUGCCAUAAGAUCGGCGCACGUUAAUUGCCCAAUUGACAUUAAAUGACCAGCAAAGUAUAAUGUACAAAGCAGAAUAUCACUUAAAAACAAAUUUAUUCUUGCUUGAUACAAACCAAUAUCAAAUCGUCUACAUUCACAUAUAACUCAGAUGCAUGUUCAACUUCUUUAGAAAAUACAAUUGUUCCUCUAUUUUCUGCUGCAAACGUUCUUGCCUGUAAAAAAAAAAGAAAAGAAGAUCAUAAAAAUAAAACACGUCACAAUGGUCAUAUGUCACCGCAAGUAUAUAGGAAUUUGAAUAGAUUUCAAAGUACAGUGUAAUAUUUAUUAUACCAUUAUACGAAUGUUAUAGAACGAAAAAAGAAUGCAAUAUCUUGCACAAUAAUAAAUUUGAAUACAUUUUGACAUAAUUUUAUUGCAACUCUUUCUCCUAUAUGAGAAAAAAUGCGUGAAU